UGCUCUUUGAUGGCCAGCUGCUUCUGUUAACUUAUCCAGUGAGGUGUCUGAUUUCAGGGAGUGGGGUGGUCUCAGUUGGGGUGAGGGCCCUGGGUGACUUUGAGAUAGUCCCACCCCACCCAUCAUGCCUUUCAGUGCACUGUGAGGGAGAAGACUUAGGAAAUCAGGCUGGCAAGAGGCCUAGGCCAGUGUAGCCAGGGUUUUGAUCUGGGAGGCCAAGGAAGGGCUGAGAGUUGCUGUUAGAGAAGAUGGCCACCAGAUGGCACCAGAGCACCAGAGUGCCCCCCUCUUGCCCCUGGAGCUAUGCGCCUUCACCUUCAAGACUUGAGAUGGGUCCUUGGUCCAGUGGGCCAAUGGCUAGAGAGUUCGACAGGCUAACUUGGUCAGAGUCCCCUUGAUGGUUUGGAGGCACAACCCUGGACCUAGAAAUACCUGGCCUGGAUUUUAGCCCUAAAACUUGCUAGAGUCAGGCUGGUCCAUGUAGAAUUGUACCCCUAGAAAGGUGGCCUUCCGGUUGUGAAUGCACUGUGUCAGUACAGGGGUUUCUCUAGAGAGAGAUCUCCUCAAGCUUUUUCUUCCCUCCCACUUGAUGCUCUCCCUCCUCGGCCAGACACCUGCUGCAGGGAAGCUACCUCAAGCCAGGGUGUGGCUUGAGUCCUGGCUGAGUCUAAGAUUGUCAUGCUCUAGCCCGUCGUGUGUUGCUGUAUGCCGAGAUGGAGGGCAGCAAGGAAGCCACCACGGACACUGCCCCAGGCCACCGCAGCGCAGAGGUUGGCUGUUGGAGGCUGAGUCAGUGUCCGAGUUGCUGUUGGAGCACAUUCUGGUCAAAGAGCCCUAGGAACCCAAGGGGCCUCCUCUCCUUCAGGCUGAAAUACAUGGCUGCUGCUGGGGUGGGGGGACCCCAUGGCAGUGCUCCGUGCUGAGCUGUGGUUGCUGGGCACCUCUUCUUAUCUGGCCAUUUUUUUUUCACCUCAUCGUAUCCACAUAAAUCUGUGAUCACAUCUUUAUUUCAAAUUCAGCAUGCUUAUCUGGGAAAAUGGCCAGAAACUUGGCAGACUCUCUGGGCUCCGUUUGAGGGGACAGGCACGUCCCUGGCUUGAAUCCCGAAUGGGCGGUUUUCUGAAACCAGGCUGACACCCCCUCCUCUCCUGCUGUGUGUUCAGUUCUCUGAGAGGAAGAGGACGAUGACACUGGUCCAUGCCCAAGACCAGCGCUUAAAACGACAAGCCCAAUGUUUAACACGGUUGUUUCUGGGCCCAAAGGUCUGCCUCUGGAGAAACACGGCAAGCUGGCCCAUGGAACAUGUCACACUCUUGCACCCGGGGCACCUGAUCAGGC
Molecule: long non-coding RNA, 1338 nt
Filed under: Sus scrofa (pig)
Lineage: Eukaryota; Metazoa; Chordata; Mammalia; Artiodactyla; Suidae
Description: lncRNA (ENSSSCG00055000231.1)
Source: RNAcentral